GCGUCCUGUAGUGCAAUGGAUAGCGCGUUGGACUUCUAACCCAAUGGUCGUGGGUUCGAGUUCCACCAGGAGUG
This is a non-coding RNA of Trichonephila inaurata madagascariensis, 74 nucleotides long. NCBI's taxonomy places the organism in Eukaryota, Metazoa, Arthropoda, Arachnida, Araneae, Nephilidae. The record is from the annotation of a GenBank genome assembly.